GGCGGACGGGUGAGUAACACGUGGGCAACCUGCCUCUAUCCGGGGGAUAACAUCGGGAAACCGGUGCUAAUACCGCAUAACAUCGCGUCACCGCAUGGCGGUGCGAUCAAAGGAGCAAUCCGGAAAGAGAUGGGCCCGCGUCCGAUUAGAUAGUUGGUGGGGUAACGGCCUACCAAGUCUGCGAUCGGUAGCCGGACUGAGAGGUUGAUCGGCCACAUUGGGACUGAGAUACGGCCCAGACUCCUACGGGGGGCAGCAGUGGGGAAUAUUGCACAAUGGGGGAAACCCUGAUGCAGCAACGCCGCGUGAAGGAUGAAGGUUUUCGGAUUGUAAACUUCUUUGACCGGGGACGAAACAAAUGACGGUACCCGGAAAACAAGCCACGGCUAACUACGUGCCAGCAGCCGCGGUAAUACGUAGGUGGCGAGCGUUGUCCGGAAUUACUGGGUGUAAAGGGCGUGUAGGCGGGUCUGCAAGUCAGAUGUGAAAUUCCGGGGCUUAACCCCGGCGCUGCAUUUGAAACUGCGGGUCUUGAGUAUCGGAGAGGGAAGUGGAAUUCC
Molecule: ribosomal RNA, 560 nt
Filed under: uncultured Clostridia bacterium
Lineage: Bacteria; Bacillati; Bacillota; Clostridia
Description: bacterial SSU rRNA
Rfam family: Bacterial small subunit ribosomal RNA
Source: RNAcentral